UGCACGUUCACUGUCUCGCACGUGGAUGUCCAGUUCUUCCAGCACCAUUCGUUGAUAAGACUGUCUUUGCUCCAUUGUAUGGUCUGUGCUCCUUUGUCAAAGAACGGUGGAGUAUGUUAACGGGCAUCUAUUUCUAGGCUCUCUGUUCUGCUCCUUUGGUCCAUUUGUCUGUUCUUUCACCAGUACCACACUGUCUUGAUUGCUGUAGCUUUAUAGUGAAUUUUGACAUUGGCUCAUGUCAGUCCUUCAACUUUUUUCUUCUUUGAUAUUAUGUUGACUUUUAAAAAGCUGUUGCAGUUGCGAUACGGUCAGAGAAAAUCUAUAUGAUAUUGCUCCCGUGCACGUUUUUAAUGCUUUGUUUAUGUCCAAAUAUGUUGUCUGUUUUCAUAAAUGUCACUUGUGUGCUCUCAAACAAGAUGUGUUCUGUUUGCUCUAGAGAGAGAUCGUGUCAGUCUGUUCUUAUUUUCUUUGCUCUUUUUGGAAGCUUUUAGAAUUUUCUCUUCAUUUCCAUGGAUCCUUUACAGAUAAUUUUUUACUUCCUUCUUUAACUUUGUGAAAUUUAUCUUCAUUAGUUUUUGAAUAUUACCUCUUCUCUGUUUUCUUUUUUUUUCAUCUUAGUUGUCUUGGAUUUCAUUUAUUUCAGAUGUUAGAUGUCUUUUUUUACCCACCAUAUCACACUGCUGUUCUUUUAAAUAUUCUCUCACUUUAUUGUUUUAUUCUGUUUCCUGGGAGAGUUUCUCAAUGUCAUUUUCCAUGUCCUAAUAAUUUGCUGUUCUCAUGUAUCCACACUGCUAUUUAUCCCAUGACUUAAGUCUUUAACAAUCCGUCCUUUUACACCUAUUUCCUCAUGAGAUUUCCCUUAUGCUUUCUCCAUUGUCACUUCGUGCUACUAACAUCUUCCCUUGUAUCUUUAAGUGUAUUUGUCAUGCUUAUGUUCCAGUAUGUUCCAGUAGUUCUACUUCAAAUGGGCUAUGUUGCUCACUUUGUUGUAUUUCUUUUUCAGUCGUUGUACUCCUCAGGUAUGUAAUUGUUUUGACUUGUGAGCUUUCAUUCCUUGUGGCUGUUGGCUACUCUGUCUGGCAUCUUGUAUUAGAGAAGGGCUAACGUUUUGCUUGGGACCAUCUCAGUCUGUGGCUGUUAUCUCAGAAUAAUUAUUAAUAGUGUGUCCUUUUCACUCUCAGAAGUGUCCUCUCUUGGGUGCUGUAUUAUAUAGUCACCUUUGUUGAGACCUAGGACCUAAGGUGUGUUUUUCUAAGUAAGUUUAAUAUGAGGGCAGGUGAUGGGCCCAGGCGCAGACAGUCUCAGAAACCGUGAAACACUGUGACCACUCAACUCCUGUGGUCAGGAUCUGUCACCUUUGAGCUCUUGGGGAAAGCGGCAUUUGAGGAGGCAUUUGAGGUUGUCACCUGGGGCUUGGGAGACGGAGGAGGUGGAGGAGUGAAGGAUCAAGGAUUGUUCAGCCCUUCCCUGCUUUCAUCAGCUAACCUAAUGCUACUC
Molecule: long non-coding RNA, 1497 nt
Filed under: Equus caballus (horse)
Lineage: Eukaryota; Metazoa; Chordata; Mammalia; Perissodactyla; Equidae
Description: lncRNA (ENSECAG00000052284.1)
Source: RNAcentral